UACAGAGGGUGCGAGCGUUAGGCGGAAUCACUGGGCUUAAAGCGUGUGUAGGUGGAUGCCUAAGUACCUUGUGAAAUCCCACGGCUUAACCGUGGAAUUGCUUGGUAUACUGGGUGUCUUGAGCCACUUAGGGGCAACCGGAACAAAUGGUGGAGCGGUGAAAUGCGUAGAUAUCAUUUGGAACGCCAAUGGUGAAAACAGGUUGCUGGGAGUGUGCUGACACUGAGACACGAAAGCCAGGGGAGCAAACGGG
Molecule: ribosomal RNA, 253 nt
Filed under: uncultured bacterium
Lineage: Bacteria
Description: partial 16S ribosomal RNA
Rfam family: Bacterial small subunit ribosomal RNA
Source: RNAcentral